UGAGGAAUCUUGCACAAUGGGCGAAAGCCUGAUGCAGCGACGCCGCGUGGAGGGUGAAGGUCUUCGGAUCGUAAACUUCUGUUAAGUGGGACGAAGGACGCAGUUUUAAUAGAAUUGCGGGAUGACGGUACCAUUAGAGAAAGCACCGGCUAACUUCGUGCCAGCAGCCGCGGUAAUACGAAGGGUGCAAGCGUUAUUCGGAAUGAUUGGGCGUAAAGGGUGCGCAGACGGUUAAUUAAGUCAACUGUUAAAUUUCUCAGCCUAACUGGGAGCUCGCAGUAGAAACUGAUUGACUAGAGGAUGGAAGAGAGAAGUGGAAUUCUCGGAGUAGCGGUAAAAUGCGUAGAUCUCGAGAGGAACACCGAUGGCGAAGGCAGCUUCUUGGUCCAUUCCUGACGUUCAGGCACGAAAGCGUGGGGAGCAAACAGG
Molecule: ribosomal RNA, 429 nt
Filed under: uncultured bacterium
Lineage: Bacteria
Description: bacterial SSU rRNA
Rfam family: Bacterial small subunit ribosomal RNA
Source: RNAcentral